AAGGAAUAUUGGUCAAUGGGGGCAACCCUGAACCAGCCAAGUAGCGUGAAGGAUGACUGCCCUAUGGGUUGUAAACUUCUUUUAUAAGGGAAUAAAGUGAGGGACGUGUCCCUUUUUGUAUGUACCUUAUGAAUAAGGAUCGGCUAACUCCGUGCCAGCAGCCGCGGUAAUACGGAGGAUCCGAGCGUUAUCCGGAUUUAUUGGGUUUAAAGGGAGCGUAGGUUGACAUAUAAGUCAGCUGUGAAAGUUUACGGCUCAACCGUGAAAUUGCAGUUGAUACUGUAUGUCUUGAGUGUACAAGAGGUGGGCGGAAUUCGUGGUGUAGCGGUGAAAUGCUUAGAUAUCAUGAAGAACUCCAAUUGCGAAGGCAGCUCACUGGGGUACAACUGACACUGAGGCUCGAAAGUGUGGGUAUCAAAC
RNAcentral lists this ribosomal RNA (420 nucleotides) under uncultured bacterium. Its description in RNAcentral is "bacterial SSU rRNA". It matches the Rfam family "Bacterial small subunit ribosomal RNA", at positions 356 to 773 of the family's 1533-position model. The record is from RNAcentral.